This is a long non-coding RNA of Setaria italica (foxtail millet), 3124 nucleotides long. RefSeq lists it as uncharacterized. The record is from RefSeq and is a predicted model, not a curated record. Lineage: Eukaryota; Viridiplantae; Streptophyta; Magnoliopsida; Poales; Poaceae. The transcript is spliced from 6 exons.
UAGGCGAUGAGGCGGCGCAUGAGGCGACGGCGACAGCGAAUGUCUACUAUCCGACGCCGAUCCUCUCCACCGCCUACUCGCCGAUAAGCCGCUGCCCUCCUCUUCCUUCCCUUCUUCUCUUCCUUCCCUUUUCUGUCCCUGGCGCACUGGGUUCUUGCUUCAUCACAUCGGUGUGCUCGCGUGCGUGGCCUCUGUCCUCAAAUCUGGGUGUGUACGGGUUCUUGGCUUGGGUUCUCGUGGGCUACAGGCUCGAUUUGAUUCUUGCCAUCGGUGUGCUAGGGUUCUUGAGUUCUUACCGCACUUUGAUCCCUCAGUUCUUGUUUGUUGGUUUGUGUUCUCUGAUUUCAUUCGAUUCAAUUUGAUUUGAUUCGAUUCGUGGAAGGCCAGGUAGGGUAGCACCAUGGCUGGAUCUUGGGUCAGCUUGUUCACGAAUUACUGUCGUCUGCCAUAGCUUGUAGAUGUGGUCGUGCGAGAUUUGUUCUCACAAUUUAGCAGCACAAUUAGUCGAUUCAAUCACUUGUAAGAAAUGAAUUGCAAAGCAGAAUGCACAACUAGCAGGUCACUCGAUUUCACAUCUUGUAUAUAUCUUUGUGAUCCGCUCUAUUGUUCUGAGAGAAACUUGCAUGUCGCUGUUGUUGGGGCAGAGAACAGGCUGGUACCAACUGAACAUGCGAAUGUCAUGAUCAGUUCCCGUAUCUUUUCUAGCUCAUGGCUCGUCUGUGUUGGUCAGGAUUGAGCACAGAGAUCUUAAUUCUUCAGUGUGCAGAUAAUUAGUAUCUAGGUAUCCAGUGUGUGAAUCAUGUUACAGUGUGUAUGGAAAUAUGCAUUGUUGUUCUGUUAUUUUUUACAGUGUGGUGUUCUUUCCUAGGACAUGUUAUUACUUUCCUAAGACAUGUUACAUUUUACAGUGUGGCGUGCGUGCUGGUACUUAGCUAGUGCAUACGCCAUGCAUGCCUUUAAUUAGAUGGAAUGCUAGCCUGGGAUGUCAGUUCUGUUCUAUGUAUUUGGAUCCUGGGAGUGGGUAUCAAGGUACGAGGCAGAUCUGGUUGCAAAGUGCUAUUUUGCAAAGCACAAACUUGUGUGGGAAGUACUUGAUGGUGGCCUGAAGAGCAAAAUUGAGAUGUAAUGGUCUGAUAUAUGUGGAAUAAAGAUGUUUUGUCCAAAAAAACGAGACUGACACCUUGGAGAUUUUGCUGUCGAGGCAACCACUCUUCUUCCGAGAAACCGAUCCUUAGCCAAGGAAGCAUACUUUGUGGCAGGGAACCUCAAAUUUUACUGGUCUUCACAUAUUUAUCAACCUCACUCGAUAACCUAAAGUGCUUGUAACUAAUAUGAGAGAUUUAUGCUUCUGCCAGGUCAAACUCUAUUUUAUCUUGAUCAAGACUGGAAGACCGAAAGGAUGUUGCUAUUUUUUCUUGAUCAAGACUCUAUUUUUGUUUGCUACUUGUUUGCUACUUCUCCCUUAUUUCAGGCCCUUGCCUUCCAUGCAUGUACAUAAAUGUUUUUACUGCCAAGUGGUUGUCAAACAAGUUGCUAAUAUUUACUGUCAAGUAGCUGUCAAACAAGUGACCUUGAUUUGCUGUCAAACAGGUGUUUACGUCAAGUUGCUAAUGUGUUUUCAUUCCUUACCAAAACGAACGGCCCUAAUGUUGUUGACUUUUGAUUCAUGGGCCAGUUCCUUUGGUGACCAGGUUACAGUGAACCACCAGGAUCCACUCGAUCUGAUCUAGGAAGAGAAACAUGCCUGCUUUCAACACUGAGCUACCAAACGAGCCCUUAGGCUAUCUCCAUGCUCUGCAUGGCCGUGCUGGAGGACGACCUACGCCGGCCGUAAGCAAGAAAUUCCUAGUUUUGGUUGUUUGACCUCAAUUAGCGGCACGAAACGUCAAAGUCAACCUUGUGACCGUCUUUUUGGUCCAAGAUCACGCUUUCCAUCUAUCUCUAAGGAAACCAUAUAGGUUUGUGUCAAAGCCGAUGAAAAAAAAUCCUAGAGGAAGAGGAAGUGGAGAAGCGCCAGGCUAAUCUGCAAUCUAUCUUGGGAAACGUAAGAAAGAGAAAAGAUAUUGGUGCUAACAAAGCUUAUGUGCAACAAACCUUGCAAGAGCAACUGUAGUGAAAAGGAUCAAUGAGGUAACCAUGUCUUACCAAAAUCCAAGCACCAUCUUCUCGACAAUAGUAAAGUUGGACAGCGGAAUCAGGAUACACUGAAAGAAGAUUUUCCUCCAAUGGCAAUAAGUCCUAAAUCUAGGCAUGCAUUUUCUUCGGAAAAAAUGGUUAACCCCACCGUCAUGAGCUCAUUGACUUCAAAGAUGAAGCAAGGAUUCGUUCACCAUGCAAAUUAAGCUAAAUUGACAAGUUCACAACAAAAGAACCUAAGGGCAACGCCAGGGUUGGUUCUCAAUUUAAAGCGGUGACUUAAUACUGAUCAAGGACCACCCUCGCGGAUACAUAAGGGGGGCAUGAUCAAUGAUUGCCAUGAUAUAACCAACAACGACAAUCUUAUGAGUAGGAAAGAACCGUCAUCGGAAGAAAAGCGCAAGGUACAUAAUGACAAUGGUAGUGAAGGUGAGAAUCCAACUCAUUGGAAGAUAACAAAAAGAAAGAGAAAAUACAUAGAGAUAAAUGGAGAUGACAUUGGCAAUUAUAGUCCGGAUGGUAUCAAUAGAUUGGCAUCAAACGAUGAUAUUUUGAAUGAUUGUCUUGAUGAAGUCUCUAGGCCACUUGUUGCCGAUUGUCUCAAGAAGGAAUGCUAUUGUUGUUCCAAUCCCAUCGACGAGCCUGUGUGGAGUGGUCUCCUUAAUAUCGGCAAUAAGGAGUAUAUGCCAUUGUCUGGUCAUUUGUCAACUAAAUCAUCUGAGAAAGUGCGUAAUUUAUCCAAAUCGUUGUCGUGUGUGGUUCAAAUGGCCAAACUAUCUAGGUCUAAGGUCUGACCUAAGAGAUGGAUGGGAUCAAGGCCUAUAAAUAAAUGACAACAUGGGCUUAUACUUCUUCCCCCAUAAGAUGAGGCCUGACAAGUCCCAUGACCAACUACUUGAGGAACUAAUGGAAAAUGAUUUAGCUUUACCGGCCAUUAUUGGUGACACUGAGAUACUGAUGUUCCCUUCUACUAUACUUCUUAAACGAU